AAAUCGACAUGACUAAACCACUUCUACUGGUGAUGUGUUCGAAUCGUUUGUUUUGGUGUCUUAAAGAGGGUCUAACACAAUUCUAGGAGAUGAUCUCAAAAGCUACUAUUUUACUUGUCUUGUAUUCGUUGGGUCAUGUGCAGCCAAAUGCAGUUAAAUCAAUGUAGAGACUAGAGGGUGGAACUUGAUGAAGAGAUGGAGAGGAAUAUUAGAGAAUCCACUGCUGAAGCUGUGGGAGCAAACUGAGGACCAAAUCCAUCAUCAUCUAAGCCUUGUUUCAACUCUAUGGGUUAGGUUUUGCUUCUAAGAAAGAGCAUGACUAGAGAUGACAAAGCAACUGCCUCAACUGACAAGAUCAUAUGCGCCUUUCUCCAGAUUUGGUCAUGCCUUCAAAGUUAGCAGAUAGCAGCAGACCCCAUACCUUAUGCACAUUGAAAAGGAAAGAACUGGGGGAAGGUGCAUUAAAUAGUUUAUCAAUUUGGGUCAACUUCCAACCGGCCCUAAUUUGCCAAAUACUUUGGAAGGCUUAGAUUGAUGUCCUACUGUCCUACUGCUACAGGCUUCAAUUAGGCAAUUAG
Molecule: non-coding RNA, 578 nt
Organism: Nelumbo nucifera (sacred lotus)
Lineage: Eukaryota; Viridiplantae; Streptophyta; Magnoliopsida; Proteales; Nelumbonaceae
Source: RefSeq, a predicted model, not a curated record